RNAcentral lists this ribosomal RNA (253 nucleotides) under uncultured bacterium. RNAcentral's name for it is "partial 16S ribosomal RNA". It matches the Rfam family "Bacterial small subunit ribosomal RNA", at positions 524 to 776 of the family's 1533-position model. The record is from RNAcentral.
UACAGAGGCCUCGAGCGUUAGGCGGAAUCACUGGGCUUAAAGCGUGUGUAGGUGGAUGCCUAAGUACCUUGUGAAAUCCCACGGCUUAACCGUGGAACUGCUGGGUAUACUGGGUGUCUUGAGCCACUUAGGGGCUACCGGAACAAGCGGUGGAGCGGUGAAAUGCGUAGAUAUCGCUUGGAACGCCAAUGGUGAAAACAGGUAGCUGGGGGUGUGCUGACACUGAGACACGAAAGCCAGGGGAGCAAACGGG